RNAcentral lists this ribosomal RNA (439 nucleotides) under uncultured bacterium. Its description in RNAcentral is "partial 16S ribosomal RNA". It matches the Rfam family "Bacterial small subunit ribosomal RNA", at positions 339 to 795 of the family's 1533-position model. The record is from RNAcentral.
CUACGGGGUGCUGCAGUGGGGAAUAUUGCACAAUGGGGGAAACCCUGAUGCAGCAACGCCGCGUGGAGGAUGACACUUUUCGGAGCGUAAACUCCUUUUAUAUAGGAAGAAGAUGACGGUACUAUAUGAAUAAGCGCCGGCUAACUCCGUGCCAGCAGCCGCGGUAAUACGGAGGGCGCAAGCGUUACUCGGAAUCACUGGGCGUAAAGAGCGUGUAGGCGGAUUAAAAAGUCAGAAGUGAAAUCCUAUAGCUUAACUAUAGAACUGCUUCUGAAACUCUUAAUCUAGAAUAUGGGAGAGGUAGAUGGAAUUUCUGGUGUAGGGGUAAAAUCCGUAGAGAUCAGAAGGAAUACCGAUUGCGAAGGCGAUCUACUAGAACAUUAUUGACGCUGAGACGCGAAAGCGUGGGGAGCAAACAGGAUUAGAUACCCUCGUAGUC